AGGAAACUGAAGUUCAGAGAGAUUUCGUGAUUUGCUCAUAGACCUAGGACUGGAUCAUACACUUAGAUCAUGGUGGAGACACGCAUAGAACCUCACACACUCAAGACCUCCCCAUGGCAUACCAAAGAACCAGUAACUUACAAGAACCGAAAGAGCACCGAUGCACUUGAGAUUUUCUAAGUCUUCAUUUGAUUGUUUUUGUAGAGACUUAUUCUACUGGAAGUAUAUGAAUACUAACUCAAUGACAAGUCAUUAAACUCGAACUUUAUAAAAAUAUGAUUCUAAGGGCCACAAUGUCCA
Molecule: long non-coding RNA, 300 nt
Filed under: Homo sapiens (human)
Lineage: Eukaryota; Metazoa; Chordata; Mammalia; Primates; Hominidae
Description: HSALNT0223019
Source: RNAcentral